RNAcentral lists this ribosomal RNA (238 nucleotides) under uncultured bacterium. RNAcentral describes it as "partial 16S ribosomal RNA". It matches the Rfam family "Bacterial small subunit ribosomal RNA", at positions 118 to 353 of the family's 1533-position model. The record is from RNAcentral.
UGAGCAAUCUGCCCUUCUCUUCGGAAUAAGCGUUGGAAACGACGUCUAAUGCCGAAUACGACCUCCUUUCGCAUGAUCGGAGGUGGAAAGCUCCGGCGGAGAAGGAUGAGCUCGCGGCCUAUCAGCUAGUUGGUGUGGGUAAUGGCCCACCAAGGCGACGACGGGUAGCCGGCCUGAGAGGGUGACCGGCCACACGUGGGACUGAGAUACGGCCCAGACCUCCGUACGGGAGGNAGCG